This 26-nucleotide non-coding RNA is filed under the name Drosophila melanogaster (fruit fly). Lineage: Eukaryota; Metazoa; Arthropoda; Insecta; Diptera; Drosophilidae. The record is from RNAcentral.
UAGUAAAACAGCCAACGAAGCGAGAA